RNAcentral lists this ribosomal RNA (259 nucleotides) under uncultured Glomus. RNAcentral describes it as "partial 18S ribosomal RNA". It matches the Rfam family "Eukaryotic small subunit ribosomal RNA", at positions 624 to 886 of the family's 1831-position model. The record is from RNAcentral. Lineage: Eukaryota; Fungi; Glomeromycota; Glomeromycetes; Glomerales; Glomeraceae.
AAGCUCGUAGUUGAAUUUCGGGAUCAGACUGUCGGUCGUGCCUCGGGUACGCACUGGCAUUAUUGGUUCCUACCUUCUGAAGAACCGCGAUGUCAUUAAUUUGGUGUCGUGGGGAAUCAGGACUGUUACUUUGAAAAAAUUAGAGUGUUUAAAGCAAGCUAACGCUUGAAUACAUUAGCAUGGAAUAAUGAAAUAGGACGUUCGAUCUUAUUUUGUUGGUUUCUUAGGAUUGACGUAAUGAUUAAUAGGGAUAGUUGGG